UGGGGAAUUUUGGACAAUGGGCGAAAGCCUGAUCCAGCAAUGCCGCGUGAGUGAAGAAGGCCUUCGGGUUGUAAAGCUCUUUUGUCAGGGAAGAAACGGUGAAAGCUAAUAUCUUUUGCUAAUGACGGUACCUGAAGAAUAAGCACCGGCUAACUACGUGCCAGCAGCCGCGGUAAUACGUAGGGUGCAAGCGUUAAUCGGAAUUACUGGGCGUAAAGCGUGCGCAGGCGGUUUUGUAAGUCUGAUGUGAAAUCCCCGGGCUCAACCUGGGAAUUGCAUUGGAGACUGCAAGGGCUAGAAUUCCUGGCAGAGGGGGGUUAGAAUUCCACGUGUAGCAGUGAAAUGCGUAGAUAUGUGGAGGAACACCGAUGGUGAAGGCAGCCCCCUGGGUCAAGAUUGACGCUCAUGCACGAAAGCGUGGGGAGCAAACAGGAUUAGAUACCCUGGUAGUCCACGCCCUAAACGGUGUCUACUAGUUGUC
RNAcentral lists this ribosomal RNA (481 nucleotides) under uncultured bacterium. RNAcentral's name for it is "partial 16S ribosomal RNA". It matches the Rfam family "Bacterial small subunit ribosomal RNA", at positions 355 to 824 of the family's 1533-position model. The record is from RNAcentral.